AUAUAUACAGAAACAUGUAGUUUAUCUCAAUAUACUUACAAGUGCAGCAGCAAGAACGCCAGGUCUGCAUCUGUUUUGCACGCUUCUCAAUCGUUCAG
Long non-coding RNA from Thalassophryne amazonica, 98 nucleotides. RefSeq lists it as uncharacterized. The record is from RefSeq and is a predicted model, not a curated record. NCBI's taxonomy places the organism in Eukaryota, Metazoa, Chordata, Actinopteri, Batrachoidiformes, Batrachoididae. The transcript has 3 exons.